GGGAGACUAGAGGACUGGGCGACAUGGGGAUACUGACACUGUGAUACAUAGGUACACGGAUGCCAGGCUGGCCUUCCAAUUCUUUGGAUGGGCAUACCCCCAUUUUGGCACCCCUUUUUGCAGUUCUGGUCACUUGAUUCGCAUCAGUGGCCUACUCUUUUACCCUGCCCAUUGGCUUCCUGCUUCACUGGACACUGCUGUUAGGGGGUAUGGAUUUACUUAAAAGAUGAAAGUAUAAAUUAG
Non-coding RNA from Pelobates cultripes (western spadefoot toad), 243 nucleotides. The record is from the annotation of a GenBank genome assembly. NCBI's taxonomy places the organism in Eukaryota, Metazoa, Chordata, Amphibia, Anura, Pelobatidae.